AAAAGGCUAUUUGUUUACGCCUUCGAUUCCGCGCUGCAUUGGUAUCGUCGCUUGUUGCUUUGUACGAUACAAUUAGUAAUUUUCCAACCUGAUAACAAAUCAAACACAAGUGUAGUGUAAUAAUACAUUCCGUCGAACUUUGGACGAAAUUUUUGUUAAUAAUCAUUACCGGGUCAUUUUUCAUGUUUUUGGCUUCGGAAUUCCAUCAUAUCACCACAAUCGUCGUCAAUUUGUCCCGCUGCUUAAUGACACAAAACAUAUGAACACAUCCAUUAUACUCGUGUGUAUUGUGUCAUUGUACCCACCUUAAACCGUGUUAAACUAGCAACUAAUGCCUUUUUUCGAUUCUAUUUAGUGCUUGCAUUUAGUUUCAUAUCCUGGCCGGGCUGACGUUUUGACUCUUCGGACGGAAGCGGGAAGCUUUUUACGUUGUGCCGCUUUUGCAAAGGGAUGACAGGGGGAUGAAUGUGCUGAUGCAGAGUUACAGAAGCAGCGAGAUGAGUUAUGUCGGGGCGUUUCGGGGGUACGAACGCCGAUUUCACGCUGGCUUUGUUCAACUGACACCUGGUCAUGCCCAUGCAUUUAUGGGGUGCAUUUAAACGAAAUGCUGUGAUAUGUGAUACAGUAGAGUGUAAUUGAGGUGGUUGUCAAGGGUAAUAAUGUUGGCGUGCGUGAGAAAUGUUUAUUUUGCGAAGCGAGCGGCAAACAUUACUUCCAAUGAGGCGAAAAGCGAAAAGGCAAACUGCAUAAUUGCCGCGACACCCCCACAAUGCGCGCCGGACACAAUAUAACAUAAUAAACAAAACGACGCAAACAUUUAUAAGCGCAUUAUGCGCCGGCGAUUGUCGCCAGCUUGGGCAGAGGUGGAAUGUGCCUCUUGCGCCAUUGUUACGCCGCCCGUCCUACACGUGUAGCGACGGCGGGACGCCAUUGUCCUACGACAAAAGGCGCAACUCCCUGCGACACCUUCAAAUGUGGAAUGAAAAUAAAACCUAACAGUUUCGGGUGUUGUUGUUGUUAUUAAUAGCUGUUUCUUCU
Long non-coding RNA from Dalotia coriaria, 1038 nucleotides. RefSeq lists it as uncharacterized. The transcript has 3 exons. The record is from RefSeq and is a predicted model, not a curated record. NCBI's taxonomy places the organism in Eukaryota, Metazoa, Arthropoda, Insecta, Coleoptera, Staphylinidae.